Long non-coding RNA from Gavialis gangeticus (Gharial), 1206 nucleotides. RefSeq lists it as uncharacterized. The transcript is spliced from 2 exons. Lineage: Eukaryota; Metazoa; Chordata; Crocodylia; Gavialidae. The record is from RefSeq and is a predicted model, not a curated record.
GAGGAUUCAUUAGUGUUUGAGGUUGGCAGUAUUUCAUUUCCUCCAUCAUUACUUCAGGGAUGCGAAGGCCUUCUAGAAACUGUUGCAAUGGCUGGCUGUGGCCUUAGUUAAAGGCCCUGCUCUUACUCAGAAAAAAUCUUUUCCAACACCCCAAAUGUUAAACAGUGCCAACAUCAGGCCAGCAGACCUCUGCAGUCAUUAAAGUAAGGUUUAAAUGAGAUCCUACUUUACAGUAGCAACUCUGAGCCACUCCCAAGAAAGUUGCCACAAAGCAUGCAUCUGCAUUCACCCCUUUUCUUUGUGCAUCAAGUCCCAGAACAAGGUGAUGCAGCAGCCUCAGAGCAGCCUUGAGUCUGUAAGCAUAUGUAAGCAAAGAGUCUAUGGAUGGUGCUCAGCGCAUGCUCUAGGCCACUCUAAUGCCUCAUUUUAGAGAGUUGGCAUGUGUGGAGCAAAUGGACAGAGACAGCUACGCAGAAGUGCAGCUUAAAACAGCAUAGAGGAGAUGUCCUUAGUAUCUUAUCUAAUGUUAACUCCAUGUGCAAUGCAUUGUUGGUGCAUGCUUUCCCAUCUGAGUACAUAUGAAUCAUAGCCCUUUUAACAUGAAGGUAUUCUUGCACGUGUUCUGCCUCACAGCUGGAAAUAGUAAAAGGAAGUUGAAUCUGCAUCUUAUAUUCAGGCAGAUUUGGAGUUUGCAAAUCUUCAACAAUCUGUGUGCUAAAAAGCCCAUCGCAAUGUCUAUUGGCCAGCUUUCCUAGGGCAUGGUCAUUGUUUUCAUUAUAUAGUAAUUGCUUCCUGCAAGAGAAAUGGCUGUUUGCUUUUGUGCUGUGCCACACCAUUCCAUGCACUACCUCCAUUCUUCACUCUUUGCAGCAUGAAAACAUCUUCAGUUUUACUCCUGUCAUCAGACUAAAUGAUUGACCUGGCAAAUGUGUGUUGAUAAAAAGUAUCUACAGCUUUUUAAAAUAGCUGUUACCAGAGUUUCAAAACUCUUGCAGUAUUCUUAAUCAUAUUUACCCCUCCACAAUCUUACCGCUAAGGUCAGUCCUACUAGGCUAUCACUAUUUAAAGAAUCACAUGGAAUCUUGUUUUGGUAGAUACGUUGCUUCAUUGCCAAUUAUGGGGUAACCUCUAACUUCUGGAUCAGAUUCUAGGCUAUGAUUAGUGGCAAUUAGGGUUGGGUAAUUCACCGGUCAAAUAAAGUUUGGU